Molecule: unclassified non-coding RNA, 345 nt
Filed under: soil metagenome
Description: partial contains 5.8S ribosomal RNA, internal transcribed spacer 2, and large subunit ribosomal RNA
Rfam family: 5.8S ribosomal RNA (bases 1-120)
Source: RNAcentral
GAUGAAGAACGUAGCGAAAUGCGAUAAGUAGUGUGAAUUGCAGAAUUCCGUGAAUCAUCGAGUCUUUGAACGCACAUUGCGCCCCCUGGUAUUCCGGGGGGCAUGCCUGUCCGAGCGUCAUUGCUGCCCUCAAGCACGGCUUGUGUGUUGGGCCUCCGUCCUCCUCCCGGGGGACGGGCCCGAAAGGCAGCGGCGGCACCGCGUCCGGUCCUCGAGCGUAUGGGGCUUCGUCACCCGCUCUUGUAGGCCCGGCCGGCGCUUGCCGACACAUCAAUCUUUUUUCCAGGUUGACCUCGGAUCAGGUAGGGAUACCCGCUGAACUUAAGCAUAUCAAUAAGCGGAGGA